GGAAGUAAAAGUCGUAACAAGGUUUCCGUAGGUGAACCUGCGGAAGGAUCAUUAGAGUGAGCCUGCGCUUCGGUGCGCGGCAGACUUACACGGUGGGAAGAUUUGGGGGGAUUGCUUUGGGUGUGGCGGUGCCGUCAGCUGGAUGCCGUCAGGCAGACAGUUGGCCGGCUGCCCGCCCAGAGACCAAACACGAGAGUAAUCUUUAGAAAGACCAGUCAGAUAAACCACAAAUUUAUCAAAACUUUCAACAACGGAUCUCUUGGUUCUCGCAACGAUGAAGAACGCAGCGAAUUGCGAUAAGUAUUGUGAAUUGCAGAUUUUCGUGAAUCAUCGAAUCUUUGAACGCACAUUGCACCCUCUGGCAUUCCAGAGGGUAUGCCUGUUUGAGCGUCAUUUCUCUCUCUGGGCGUUAGCCUGGGUAUUGGCGCGAGACCCCCCUGCCUGGGGUGGGUCCGCCCGAAAUAGACGCUGGCCAGAGUCCCAGCCCCCUCCUGCGCGCCGCUAGAGCCUGUGGUGAAUGUACUAGGUAUUGCCAUCUCAUUCCAACAGCAACAGCGGCCAGGGGGCUUACCAGAGUGGACCCGGCACAACAACACCUUCCUAAAGGUUGACCUCAAAUCAGGUAGGACUACCCGCUGAACUUAAGCAUAUCAAUAAGCGGAGGA
Molecule: ribosomal RNA, 665 nt
Filed under: [Candida] sp. ELP19
Lineage: Eukaryota; Fungi; Ascomycota; Saccharomycetes; Saccharomycetales
Description: eukaryotic LSU rRNA
Rfam family: 5.8S ribosomal RNA (bases 240-393)
Source: RNAcentral